CUUCGCCGGCACCCCCUCCAGUGGCGGCGCAGCGGGGGAGGAGGGCGGGAUCCCCCCGGCGGCGCGGCUAGGGUUUCCCCCCGUGUCGCCAGAGGAGGGCGACGCGGGGGUCGGGGGCUAGAGACCAAGGAGCUAGCUGAGUUAUAGUAUGGUCUCAAUCACCUGAUGUCAGCUGAUGUCAUUGUGUAGUUGUCUCAGCCCGUUUUCUUUUUCUAUGUGUGGCGGAAGCCCGUUUUGUUGUUUUGUCGGCCCGUUUUAUUUUUUUGACUUGAAAAAGCCUGGAGGCCCAAGUUGUUAUCCCGGUUGGUUGUUCCAGGUGUGUUGAUGGUUUUGCCUCCAGGGCACCUGAGGUCACGUGCCCCCAGGGAAAAAGAAUCCAACGACCCCAGCUGUUUGACCCCAGCUGUUUGAGUCCUUGUUCAAUCAGUUGUAACCUUGACAGCAAAAAAGAGAAAAUCUGUCAGGUUUUUUGAUUGCAAGAUUGAUUUCUUACUCCUCUCUUGGUCAGAGUGUUAGAAAACUGGAACAAAGACCAAAAAAGCUUGUCUGAUCUUUAUAUUUGUUACUCACACUGCAGCUACUGCAGAGGAGUAUGGAGACUACCUGCUUGCCAAUCAGUUAUCUAUGUAUCAUGAGCGCCAAUUUGAUUUGGAAUGUGGUCAGUCGAGCACGAUGCCUGGGAAGUCGUUGCAACAAUCGACAGAUGGAGGCCAAAGGAUACAAAAGACAUACGAGACAGGCGGUUCAAUGUGCCUGCUGAGCUAACUGCUGGGAGUCAACACUUGAGGUACACACUUCUGUCCAACAGGCUCAACGAUAUGGCCUCUGAUGGCGCAUCAACAAGUAGAAAAUAUCUAUAUGUUGCUGGGGAGAGUGAGAGGGUGCAACAGAGAUUGGAUGAGAUGACUAAAGAAGAUGAAGCUGCUGAAGCUGAGAAAACAAGUGUUGGACCAAAGAAUUCAGAAGUUCCACUCAUAGACCCGCAUCCAGAUGGUUAUGGGGACAACCUGCAAAAUCCCGAUGUUGCUAUCUCGAAAGGACGUCCACAAUCAGGGCGAUACAAAACCUUCAUGGAAACUUUGCGUGCCAAACCAAAAAUUCACUGUAGCCGAUGUGGUUCUGAAACCCACAACAUAUCUACUUGCACAGUAAUUGCUGAUAAUGUUGCCAAGGCACAGCGACAAAAAAGCACUCAAAAAAGUGCUUCAGGUCCCCUAGAUUUUUUCUCUGUUUUGUUAAAUUUAUGAUUUUUGUUUCUCUGUUGCCCACUUGCAAUUCUAAGAAUGUUUGCUUAUUGUGUUGGUAGCAGGUUCGAUGACAGCAGCAAAAACCAAUAAACCAUCAGGUGGGCGGACGAAGAAGAGCAAGACACAAAGCACAACAACAACAGGGGACAAAGACUGACUAGACUAUUUGAAAAAAAUAUUGUAAUAAAUUAGCAUUUUCAUAUAUUUUGGGAUGCAAAAAAACGCAUGGCAAGAGAAGAAAAAACAUUGUAACUGUACUUUGUUUAGCUCAUGUUGCUGCAUCUGA
This is a non-coding RNA of Aegilops tauschii subsp. strangulata, 1533 nucleotides long. The record is from RefSeq and is a predicted model, not a curated record. Lineage: Eukaryota; Viridiplantae; Streptophyta; Magnoliopsida; Poales; Poaceae.